This 430-nucleotide ribosomal RNA is filed under the name Acidobacteriota bacterium. Its description in RNAcentral is "Acidobacteria bacterium partial 16S ribosomal RNA". It matches the Rfam family "Bacterial small subunit ribosomal RNA", at positions 355 to 776 of the family's 1533-position model. The record is from RNAcentral. Lineage: Bacteria; Pseudomonadati; Acidobacteriota.
UGGGGAAUAUUGGACAAUGGGCGCAAGCCUGAUCCAGCCAUGCCGCGUGUGUGAAGAAGGCCUUUUGGUUGUAAAGCACUUUAAGCGAGGAGGAGGCUACUUGGAUUAAUACUCUAGGAUAGUGGACGUUACGCGCAGAAUAAGCACCGGCUAACUCUGUGCCAGCAGCCGCGGUAAUACAGAGGGUGCGAGCGUUAAUCGGAUUUACUGGGCGUAAAGCGUGCGUAGGCGGCUUCUUAAGUCGGAUGUGAAAUCCCUGAGCUUAACUUAGGAAUUGCAUUCGAUACUGGGAAGCUAGAGUAUGGGAGAGGAUGGUAGAAUUCCAGGUGUAGCGGUGAAAUGCGUAGAGAUCUGGAGGAAUACCGAUGGCGAAGGCAGCCAUCUGGCCUAAUACUGACGCUGAGGUACGAAAGCAUGGGGAGCAAACAGG